CCUACGGGAGGCAGCAGUAGGGAAUCUUUCACAAUGGGCGAAAGCCUGAUGGAGCAACGCCGCGUGCAGGAUGAAGGCCUUCGGGUUGUAAACUGCUUUUAUAAGCGAGAAAUAUGAUGGUAACUUAUGAAUAAGGAUCGGCUAACUACGUGCCAGCAGCCGCGGUCAUACGUAGGAUCCGAGCAUUAUCCGGAGUGACUGGGUGUAAAGAGUUGCGUAGGUGGCAUAAUAAGUAGCUAGUGAAAUCUGGUGGCUCAACAAUUCAGACUAUUAGCUAAACUGUUAAGCUCGAGACCGUUAGAGGUAACUGGAAUUUCUAGUGUAGGAGUGAAAUCCGUAGAUAUUAGAAGGAACACCAAUAGCGUAGGCAGGUUGCUGGGACGGUUCUGACACUAAGGCACGAAAGCGUAGGGAGCAAACGGGAUUAGAUACCCCAGUAGUC
Molecule: ribosomal RNA, 442 nt
Filed under: uncultured bacterium
Lineage: Bacteria
Description: partial 16S ribosomal RNA
Rfam family: Bacterial small subunit ribosomal RNA
Source: RNAcentral